GUAGGGAAUAUUGGGCAAUGGAGGCAACUCUGACCCAGCCAUGCCGCGUGCAGGAUGAAGGCCCUCUGGGUUGUAAACUGCUUUUAUCUGGGAAGAAACCUUUGGAUUCAUCUGAAGCUGACGGUACCAGAGGAAUAAGCACCGGCUAACUCCGUGCCAGCAGCCGCGGUAAUACGGAGGGUGCAAGCGUUAUCCGGAUUUACUGGGUUUAAAGGGUGCGCAGGCGGACUGUUAAGUAAGUGGUGAAAGCCCCGAGCUCAACCUGGGAAUUGCCAUUGAUACUGGCGGUCUUGAGUACAGUAGAGGUAGGCGGAAUGCAACAUGUAGCGGUGAAAUGCUUAGAUAUGUUGCAGAACACCGAUUGCGAAGGCAGCUUGCUAUGCUGUUACUGACGCUCAGGCACGAAAGCGUGGGGAUCAAACAGGAUUAGAAACCCCUGUAGUCC
Molecule: ribosomal RNA, 445 nt
Filed under: uncultured bacterium
Lineage: Bacteria
Description: partial 16S ribosomal RNA
Rfam family: Bacterial small subunit ribosomal RNA
Source: RNAcentral